UAACACGUGGGUGACCUGCCUUCGAGCGGGGGAUAACGUCCCGAAAGGGACGCUAAUACCGCAUAACAUCCUGCCUUUUAAGAGGUGGAGAUCGAAGCCGGGGAUUCGCAAGAACCUGGCACUUGAAGAGGGGCCCGCGCCUGAUUAGCUAGUUGGUGGGGUAAUGGCCUACCAAGGCAACGAUCAGUAUCCGGCCUGAGAGGGCGGACGGACACACUGGGACUGAGACACGGCCCAG
This 238-nucleotide ribosomal RNA is filed under the name uncultured bacterium. Its description in RNAcentral is "partial 16S ribosomal RNA". It matches the Rfam family "Bacterial small subunit ribosomal RNA", at positions 111 to 334 of the family's 1533-position model. The record is from RNAcentral.